This 76-nucleotide transfer RNA is filed under the name Phycisphaerales bacterium. RNAcentral's name for it is "tRNA-Asn". It matches the Rfam family "tRNA". Rfam says of the family: Transfer RNA (tRNA) molecules are approximately 80 nucleotides in length. Their secondary structure includes four short double-helical elements and three loops (D, anti-codon, and T loops). Lineage: Bacteria; Pseudomonadati; Planctomycetota; Phycisphaerae; Phycisphaerales. The record is from RNAcentral.
GGGCCGUUAGCUCAGUUGGUAGAGCGGGUGACUGUUAAUCACUAGGUCGUAGGUUCGAUCCCUACACGGCCCACCA